This 56-nucleotide transfer RNA is filed under the name Bos taurus (domestic cattle). It matches the Rfam family "tRNA", at positions 8 to 63 of the family's 71-position model. From Rfam's summary of the family: Transfer RNA (tRNA) molecules are approximately 80 nucleotides in length. Their secondary structure includes four short double-helical elements and three loops (D, anti-codon, and T loops). The record is from Rfam by way of RNAcentral. RNAcentral also lists the same sequence under 5 other names. Lineage: Eukaryota; Metazoa; Chordata; Mammalia; Artiodactyla; Bovidae.
UAGCUCAGUUGGAAAGAAUCUGCCUGAAAGGCAGGAGACCCAGGUUCGAUUCCUGG